UACAGAGGGUGCAAGCAUUAAUCGGAUUUAUUGGGCGUAAAGAGCGCGCAGGCGGGGUUUUAAGUCAGAUGUGAAAUCCCGGGGCUCAACCCCGGAACAGCAUUUGAAACUGAGAAUCUUGAGGGUAGUCGGAGAAAAUGGAAUUCCACGUGUAGCGGUGAAAUGCGUAGAUAUGUGGAAGAACACCGGUGGCGAAGGCGAUUUUCUAGAUUAUUCCUGACGCUGAGGCGCGAAAGCAAGGGGAUCAAACAGG
This 253-nucleotide ribosomal RNA is filed under the name uncultured bacterium. RNAcentral describes it as "partial 16S ribosomal RNA". It matches the Rfam family "Bacterial small subunit ribosomal RNA", at positions 524 to 776 of the family's 1533-position model. The record is from RNAcentral.